RNAcentral lists this ribosomal RNA (497 nucleotides) under uncultured bacterium. RNAcentral describes it as "partial 16S ribosomal RNA". It matches the Rfam family "Bacterial small subunit ribosomal RNA", at positions 28 to 507 of the family's 1533-position model. The record is from RNAcentral.
GAUGAACGCUGGCGGCGUGCCUAAUACAUGCAAGUCGAGCGAACGGACGAGAAGCUUGCUUCUCUGAUGUUAGCGGCGGACGGGUGAGUAACACGUGGAUAACCUACCUAUAAGACUGGGAUAACUUCGGGAAACCGGAGCUAAUACCGGAUAAUAUUAUGAACCGCAUGGUUCAUAAGUGAAAGACGGUCUUGCUGUCACUUAUAGAUGGAUCCGCGCUGCAUUAGCUAGUUGGUAAGGUAACGGCUUACCAAGGCAACGAUGCAUAGCCGACCUGAGAGGGUGAUCGGCCACACUGGAACUGAGACACGGUCCAGACUCCUACGGGAGGCAGCAGUAGGGAAUCUUCCGCAAUGGGCGAAAGCCUGACGGAGCAACGCCGCGUGAGUGAUGAAGGUCUUCGGAUCGUAAAACUCUGUUAUUAGGGAAGAACAUAUGUGUAAGUAACUGUGCACAUCUUGACGGUACCUAAUCAGAAAGCCACGGCUAACUACGUG